UCCCCGUAGUGCAAAGGAUAGCGCUUUGGACUUCUAAUGCAAGGAUCGUGGGUUCGAAUCCCAACUGGGAGAA
Trichonephila clavipes is the source of this 73-nucleotide non-coding RNA. The record is from the annotation of a GenBank genome assembly. NCBI's taxonomy places the organism in Eukaryota, Metazoa, Arthropoda, Arachnida, Araneae, Nephilidae.